Molecule: long non-coding RNA, 621 nt
Filed under: Malus domestica (apple)
Lineage: Eukaryota; Viridiplantae; Streptophyta; Magnoliopsida; Rosales; Rosaceae
Description: long non-coding RNA (MDOM_LNC020331)
Source: RNAcentral
GGUGUGCGAUCCAUUAGGUUCCUUUUAGCGAGGCAGUGGGCUAUUAAAACCAUUUUAUAUCGAUUGUGAAUUGAAACUUACUUUCAAUUCUCCCUUUAGUGAUUACACACGUUUAGGGCUUCCACAAACCAUAAGUGACACCUUGCAGCAUAUCAUCGUUACCCAAGCUAAUCAGAAGAGGUAGAGAAAACCUAUUCAGUUUGGGAUUACAAAUGCAAUACGGUCUUUCUCUAAUACAAUACUCUUGACCACAUUGUUUGGUUUGAUAGUUUAUUUAUUCAUGUCUACUAUCCAAUGUGAUUCGUGUGCUUAUAUGAUUACCUUGAAUGUGAUUUAGAACGACUUUUCUAAAUCUCAUUCAUACUCUGGCCAGAGAUUCUAAAUCAUAUCAUAGAGUAUUCUCCCUUAAACAGUUUGAAGGUUAGAGAUCCCUUGUUGCGCAUUCACUUGCCUCCAUGGCUAAGUGGCUUAACCCCAACGAUGCCGUGGACACUCCAAUGGAAUGUCGUUUGACAUAAUCAAAGAUCAAGGACUUAACCACAAGACAAUUGUGAUGACUCAGGUCAAAGGACUACUUUGCAUUAUCCCAACCAUGAGUUCUCAUGUGACAUGAGUAUGAGA